GGACCGAGGGCCGCCGAGCGCAAGGAGGAGACUGAGGAGCAGAGAAGUAACAGCGGGUAAUGUUUCAAGGGAUGACUAAGAGAAGAUGUCAGCGGACUUGAAGAGCUGUCAGCUCCAUUAGAGGAGAUGAGCGAAGGCUGACUCUCUGCCAGAUGAGUGGAAUCCACUGCGAGCUGUGCCUGGCUCUUCUCAUUCAACAGUAUGUCUGUGAAAUUCAUCAAUCCACACGGCUACC
This is a long non-coding RNA of Piliocolobus tephrosceles (Ugandan red Colobus), 235 nucleotides long. RefSeq lists it as uncharacterized. Lineage: Eukaryota; Metazoa; Chordata; Mammalia; Primates; Cercopithecidae. The transcript is spliced from 3 exons. The record is from RefSeq and is a predicted model, not a curated record.